GGUUAAGCGACUAAGCGUACACGGUGGAUGCCCUGGCAGUCAGAGGCGAUGAAGGACGUGCUAAUCUGCGAAAAGCGUCGGUAAGGUGAUAUGAACCGUUAUAACCGGCGAUGUCCGAAUGGGGAAACCCAGUGCAAUUCGUUGCACUAUCGUUAACUGAAUACAUAGGUUAACGAGGCGAACCGGGGGAACUGAAACAUCUAAGUACCCCGAGGAAAAGAAAUCAACCGAGAUUCCCCCAGUAGCGGCGAGCGAACGGGGAGCAGCCCAGAGUCUGAAUCAGCUUGUGUGUUAGUGGAACGGUCUGGAAAGUCCGACGGUACAGGGUGAUAGUCCCGUACACCAAAAUGCACAGGCUGUGAACUCGAAGAGUAGGGCGGGACACGUGGUAUCCUGUCUGAAUAUGGGGGGACCAUCCUCCAAGGCUAAAUACUCCUGACUGACCGAUAGUGAACCAGUACCGUGAGGGAAAGGCGAAAAGAACCCCGGCGAGGGGAGUGAAAAAGAACCUGAAACCGUGUACGUACAAGCAGUGGGAGCACCUUCGGGUGUGACUGCGUACCUUUUGUAUAAUGGGUCAGCGACUUAUAUUCUGUAGCAAGGUUAACCGUAUAGGGGAGCCGCAGGGAAACCGAGUCUUAACUGGGCGUUAAGUUGCAGGGUAUAGACCCGAAACCCGGUGAUCUAGCCAUGGGCAGGUUGAAGGUUGGGUAACACUAACUGGAGGACCGAACCGACUAAUGUUGAAAAAUUAGCGGAUGACUUGUGGCUGGGGGUGAAAGGCCAAUCAAACCGGGAGAUAGCUGGUUCUCCCCGAAAGCUAUUUAGGUAGCGCCUCGUGAAUUCAUCUUCGGGGGUAGAGCACUGUUUCGGCUAGGGGGUCAUCCCGACUUACCAACCCGAUGCAAACUACGAAUACCGAAGAAUGUUAUCACGGGAGACACACGGCGGGUGCUAACGUCCGUCGUGAAGAGGGAAACAACCCAGACCGCCAGCUAAGGUCCCAAAGUCAUGGUUAAGUGGGAAACGAUGUGGGAAGGCACAGACAGCCAGGAUGUUGGCUUAGAAGCAGCCAUCAUUUAAAGAAAGCGUAAUAGCUCACUGGUCGAGUCGGCCUGCGCGGAAGAUGUAACGGGGCUAAACCAUGCACCGAAGCUGCGGCAGCGACACUAUGUGUUGUUGGGUAGGGGAGCGUUCUGUAAGCCUGCGAAGGUGACCUGUGAGGGUUGCUGGAGGUAUCAGAAGUGCGAAUGCUGACAUAAGUAACGAUAAAGCGGGUGAAAAGCCCGCUCGCCGGAAGACCAAGGGUUCCUGUCCAACGUUAAUCGGGGCAGGGUGAGUCGACCCCUAAGGCGAGGCCGAAAGGCGUAGUCGAUGGGAAACAGGUUAAUAUUCCUGUACUUGGUGUUACUGCGAAGGGGGGACGGAGAAGGCUAUGUUAGCCGGGCGACGGUUGUCCCGGUUUAAGCAUGUAGGCUGGUUGUCCAGGCAAAUCCGGAUAAUCAAGGCUGAGGUGUGAUGACGAGGCACUACGGUGCUGAAGUAACAAAUGCCCUGCUUCCAGGAAAAGCCUCUAAGCAUCAGGUAACAUCAAAUCGUACCCCAAACCGACACAGGUGGUCAGGUAGAGAAUACCAAGGCGCUUGAGAGAACUCGGGUGAAGGAACUAGGCAAAAUGGUGCCGUAACUUCGGGAGAAGGCACGCUGGUGUGUAGGUGAAGUCCCUGCGGAUGGAGCUGAGACCAGUCGAAGAUACCAGCUGGCUGCAACUGUUUAUUAAAAACACAGCACUGUGCAAACACGAAAGUGGACGUAUACGGUGUGACGCCUGCCCGGUGCCGGAAGGUUAAUUGAUGGGGUUAUCCGUAAGGAGAAGCUCUUGAUCGAAGCCCCGGUAAACGGCGGCCGUAACUAUAACGGUCCUAAGGUAGCGAAAUUCCUUGUCGGGUAAGUUCCGACCUGCACGAAUGGCGUAAUGAUGGCCAGGCUGUCUCCACCCGAGACUCAGUGAAAUUGAACUCGCUGUGAAGAUGCAGUGUACCCGCGGCAAGACGGAAAGACCCCGUGAACCUUUACUAUAGCUUGACACUGAACAUUGAGCCUUGAUGUGUAGGAUAGGUGGGAGGCUUUGAAGCGUGGACGCCAGUCUGCGUGGAGCCAACCUUGAAAUACCACCCUUUAAUGUUUGAUGUUCUAACGUUGGCCCCUGACCGGGGUUGCGGACAGUGUCUGGUGGGUAGUUUGACUGGGGCGGUCUCCUCCCAAAGCGUAACGGAGGAGCACGAAGGUUAGCUAAUCCUGGUCGGACAUCAGGAGGUUAGUGCAAUGGCAUAAGCUAGCUUGACUGCGAGCGUGACGGCGCGAGCAGGUGCGAAAGCAGGUCAUAGUGAUCCGGUGGUUCUGAAUGGAAGGGCCAUCGCUCAACGGAUAAAAGGUACUCCGGGGAUAACAGGCUGAUACCGCCCAAGAGUUCAUAUCGACGGCGGUGUUUGGCACCUCGAUGUCGGCUCAUCACAUCCUGGGGCUGAAGUAGGUCCCAAGGGUAUGGCUGUUCGCCAUUUAAAGUGGUACGCGAGCUGGGUUUAGAACGUCGUGAGACAGUUCGGUCCCUAUCUGCCGUGGGCGCUGGAGAAUUGAGGGGGGCUGCUCCUAGUACGAGAGGACCGGAGUGGACGCAUCACUGGUGUUCGGGUUGUCAUGCCAAUGGCACUGCCCGGUAGCUAAAUGCGGAAGAGAUAAGUGCUGAAAGCAUCUAAGCACGAAACUUGCCCCGAGAUGAGUUCUCCCUGAGACUUUAAGUCUCCUGAAGGAACGUU
Molecule: ribosomal RNA, 2816 nt
Filed under: Klebsiella pneumoniae
Lineage: Bacteria; Pseudomonadati; Pseudomonadota; Gammaproteobacteria; Enterobacterales; Enterobacteriaceae
Description: partial 23S ribosomal RNA
Rfam family: Bacterial large subunit ribosomal RNA
Source: RNAcentral